UGUUAAUAUUCCUGUACCUCUUACUGAUGCGAUGGAGGGACGGAGAAGGCUAUAUCUACCAGCGAUUGGUUGUGCUGGGGAAAGGUUGUAGGCAUGUGUCUUAGGCAAAUCCGGGAUACUCUAUGCUGAGAACUGAGACGAACCUGUCCUUGUACGGGGAAGUGAUAGAUGCCAUGCUUCCAAGAAAAGCUCCUAAGCUUCAGUCAGUAAGGGAUCGUACCCAAAACCGACACAGGUGGUCAGGUCGAGAAGACCAAGGCGCUUGAGAGAACUCUGCUGAAGGAACUAGGCAAAAUAGUACCGUAACUUCGGGAGAAGGUACGCUGUUGAUGGUGAAGGAUUUACUCCGUAAGCUAUUGGCAGCCUCAGAAACUAGGCCGCUGCAACUGUUUAUUAAAAACACAGCACUCUCAAACACGAAAGUGGACGUAUAGGGUGUGAUGCCUGCCCGGUGCUGGAUGUUAAUUGAUGGGGUUAGCGAAAGCGAAGCUCUUGAUCGAAGCCCCAGUAAACGGCGGCCGUAACAAUAACGGUCCUAAGGUAGCGAAAUUCCUUGUCGGGUAAGUUCCGACCUGCACGAAUGGCAUAAUGAUGGCGGCGCUGUCUCCAGCAGAGACUCAGUGAAAUCGAAAUCGCGGUGAAGAUGCCGUGUACCCGCGGCUAGACGGAAAGACCCCGUGAACCUUUACUGCAGCUUUGCACUGAACUUUGACCUUACUUGUGUAGGAUAGGUGGGAGGCUAUGAAACUUGGACGCCAGUUCGAGUGGAGCCAUCCUUGAAAUACCACCCUGGUAAUGUCGAGGUUCUAACCCAGUUCCGUUAUCCGGAACGGGGACAGUGUAUGGUGGGUAGUUUGACUGGGGCGGUCUCCUCCUAAAGAGUAACGGAGGAGUACGAAGGUGGGCUCAGCGUGGUCGGAAAUCACGCACUGAGUAUAAAGGCAAAAGCGCGCUUAACUGCGAGACCGACAAGUCGAGCAGGUACGAAAGUAGGUCUUAGUGAUCCGGUGGUUCUGUAUGGAAGGGCCAUCGCUCAACGGAUAAAAGGUACUCUGGGGAUAACAGGCUGAUACCGCCCAAGAGUUCAUAUCGACGGCGGUGUUUGGCACCUCGAUGUCGGCUCAUCUCAUCCUGGGGCUGAAGCAGGUCCCAAGGGUAUGGCUGUUCGCCAUUUAAAGAGGUACGCGAGCUGGGUUUAGAACGUCGUGAGACAGUUCGGUCCCUAUCUACCGUGGGCGUUGGAGACUUGAGAGGAUCUGCUUCUAGUACGAGAGGACCGAAGUGGACGAACCUCUGGUGUUCCGGUUGUCACGCCAGUGGCACUGCCGGGUAGCUAUGUUCGGAAGGGAUAACCGCUGAAAGCAUCUAAGCGGGAAGCCUACCUCAAGAUAAGGUCUCCCUGAGGGUUUACCCUCCUAAAGAGCCGUUAGAGACCAUGGCGUUAAUAGGUUCGGUGUGGAAGUGCGGUGACGCAU
This 1475-nucleotide ribosomal RNA is filed under the name metagenome. RNAcentral describes it as "bacterial LSU rRNA". It matches the Rfam family "Bacterial large subunit ribosomal RNA", at positions 1428 to 2886 of the family's 2925-position model. The record is from RNAcentral.